RNAcentral lists this ribosomal RNA (254 nucleotides) under uncultured bacterium. RNAcentral's name for it is "partial 16S ribosomal RNA". It matches the Rfam family "Bacterial small subunit ribosomal RNA", at positions 524 to 776 of the family's 1533-position model. The record is from RNAcentral.
CACGUAGGGGGCGAGCGUUGUCCGGAUUUAUUGGGCGUAAAGAGCUCGUAGGCGGCUCGGUAAGUCGGGUGUGAAAACUCGGGGCUCAACCCCGAGACGCCACUCGAUACUGGUGUGGCUUGAGUCCGGUAGGGGAGCGUGGAAUUCCUGGUGUAGCGGUGAAAUGCGCAGAUAUCAGGAGGAACACCGAUGGCGAAGGCAGGUCUCUGGGCCACUACUGACGCUGAGAAGCGAAAGCGUGGGGAGCGAACAGG